UUCUGCGCUGUCACGAGCUGUCAGAAAAGUUUUUGUAGCGAGCAAGAAAAACGAAGUAAGUUUUGGCGGAGUGAGGAAAAAAACAAGAAAAAGGUGAGAAAAGCGCAAGGUAGUGAAUUUUUUGGCGUCAACAGUGCACACUCAAGGAUACAAACUGUGGAUAAUCACUGUGAAAAAACCCAGGAAAAGAGAUGAAGAGACGAAAUGCCGAUUGCAAACUAAGGCGACCGAUUAAACGCAAUAAAAUCACGGAAGGAAUGUACGGAAGCAAUACAAUAUUGUACAUCAAGUUCCUGCUACUGUGGGCCAUUGUGAUUACAGCCGAUUUCAUGUUGGAAUUCCGUUUUGAAUUUCUCUGGCCAUUUUGGUUGCUUCUCCGUUCCGUUCAUGAUUCUUUUAAAUUCAAGGGACUGGCUUUUUCCGUUCUCUUUGUGUGCAUCGCCAUCACAUCGGAUCUCAUAUGUUUAUUUUUUAUACCAGUCCAUUGGCUGUUUUUUGCAGCAAGCACAUAUGUUUGGGUACAAUAUGUGUGGCACACAGAGAAGGGCAUUUGCUUACCAACAAUUGUAUUGUGGAUGCUUUUCCUGUACAUCGAGGGUGCAAUUCGCUGGAAAGAUAGUCGGCAUAUGCCACAUUUGGAUCUCUGUCGACCAUUUGCUGCCCAUUGCAUUGGGUAUCCAGUGGUGACUCUGGGUUUUGGCUUCAAGAGCUACGUUGGCUUCCGGAUGCGCCAGCGAAAGCAACGUGAGGUGGCGAAAGAGAAUGAAUUCUAUAUGCAAUUGCUGCAACAAGCAUUACCGCAGGAAGAGCCCACGGAGGAUGCGAUAGCAUUAACGGAGGGUAGUAGCAUUAGUGUGGCCGCGACGACAGCAACACACAAUAAUGGUGAUGUGCGAAGUGGUGGUGGAAGUAGCACAAGAAAUAUGCCCCAGAAAGCAUUAAGUAUAGCCGCCGUGGGUGCAACAGCAACGACGACGACGACGACGUCCAAUGGGCAUGCCGUGGGGGCGUCAAAUGGCGCCGUGUCAAGUGGAUACGGUGGCCGAGGGCAUCAUGGGAAACGUAGUAGCGGUGGCACCGAUGGGGGUAGCAGUAGCAGCAGCAGCAACAGCAAAUGUGAUCUUAACAAUCAUAGUAAUAGUAAAUCAUCCAUAAAUCACACAUCAUAUCAUCAGCAACAGCUAUCAUGCAGCAACAGUAGUAGCUCUUCCGCAUCAACUUCCGCGGCGCACGUUGGCACCACGACGACGACGACAACAGCAGGGAAAGCAGCCGAUAAGGAUGUAACGAGGUCAUCGAGUGACAGCCUCUCGGGUGGAUCAUCGCGUGAACGUGAUACGUGCACGCAGAUAAAGGAGCAGCAGCAGCACAAGACUGAGCGUGCGUCACACGAUGGGCAGAGCGACGGUUCACCGUCAUCGACAAAGUCAUCACAGAGCAACAACAAAGUACAACACAAUGGUGGCAUUAAUUACAAUAAUUGCAAUAGUGGUGAGCAUCAGCAACAGCAGCAGGAUGUUGGCGAUGUGUCGUCAUCCACGGAACGUGGGAAAAAUCGCCGAAAUCGCAUGAAGCAGCAACAAAAGGAGAUGGCACGAGACAAUCACCAUCAUCAUGUUAAUGGUGGCAUCGAUGGUGGUGUCAAUGUGCACCAGACAAAUCACAAUCAGACAUCACAGACACUUCCCCAAGUGUGUGAGUCGUGCCUCCGACUUGAGGCUGAGAUGAAGAAAAUGCGCUCCGAUAUGGGGCAUAUGAAGCAAAUUGAGCAUGAAUUGCGGCAAAAGGUGGAAUCAUCGGCCACAAUUAAAUCCUGCCUGCAAGCAAAGCAUAAGGAGAAUGAUGAACUAGAGAAGAAAAUUCAAGACCUCAACAACUCGAGGCACGUAGACAGGCAGAAUUUGCUGAAUGCAGAAAAGAGACUCGGCGAGGAGCGACGACAGCGACUCACGUUGGAAUCCCAAUUGGCAAACGAGAGGAAAAUACGAGCGAAAAUUGAGGAGAAAGCAGCAAAAUUAGCUGAAUGUGGCGAAUCUUGCAAAAUGAAGAAGAGACAUUUGGAAUCUGAAGCAGGACGUCUAAGGCGUGAAUUGUCCUUGGCGGAUGAGCAAAAGAAAUCCUUUGAGCAACAGAAUAGAAGAUACGAAGAUGAGAUUCGUAAAAUGGAGGAUGCACAGCAAGAUACGGAAAUGCUAAUGUCUGCCUUGGCGGCGAUGCAGGAUAAAAAUUCAACACUUGAGAAGAAUCUCUCAGCUGAGACGAGAUUUAAAUUGGAUUUAUUUUCUGCACUCGGUGAGGCACGACGUGAGGUGGAUAUUAAAGAUUCACACAUUCGGAAUAUGGAGAAAGAGAUACUAGAGCUGAAGGGUAAGAUUGCUCAACUGUUGGCCGUUAUGCCAGCAAUGCCAUCGGCGGAAUCCUUCAGUUUGACACCAAACUCUUCAGCUGGUAGCUCAAUGUUGCGCCUCAAUGAUACACCACCACUUAUAAUGGCACAGCAGAGCCCGAGUCAAGCGCAAAUGGGUCUUGGGGCACCCUCAAUUAUUUGCCAGUUGACAGCAGCAGCCCAGGCGACGGCUGCUGCGGGUGCUGCAAUGAGUCAAGUGACAAAUUGUGUUCAGCAACAACGUGAGAAUCCCAACAAUCUCACUGGGAAUGCAGCAUCAACACUUGAUCCCAAUGCCACUGCAUAUACACCCAAGAAUUCAUCACUUGUGGGUGGUACGGAGGCAUGACUGGAUCGUCUUGUUUGAAGGGUUAAUAAAAUACAAUAAAAACCCCCAAAAUCUUCCAUCUGGACACUAACAAAGAAGUAAAGAUAAAAAAAAAGAAGAAAACAACAUACACCACUCCGUUUUGGCGUUUAGAGAGAGAGAAAAAGAAGAGAAAGAAUUUUUUUUCUCUAAGGGAUGGAUAAGAGAAAUGGAUUAAAUUUUUUAUGAAGCGUGUCAUCCCGCAUUGAAUUUUACUCACAAACAUCCCCACACAACACACGAGAAAUUAAAAAAAAAAUGUGUGAGAGUGAGAAAAAAUACCACAGAGAGAAAAAAAGUUUUUUUAUUUAAAUUUUUCAAAUAGUUUCUGUGGAUUAUUUUUUUAAUUAAAAAAAAUAUUGAAUCAGUCUCCUUGAAAAUAAAUGAAGAAAAAAAACAAGAAUUAAAAGCAGAGAAAAAGAAUCCUUCAUAUCAAGGAUUCAGGCGUCCAUUGAAAUAAAAAAAAAUACUCAUCAUUUGAAAUUUUGAAAAAAAAAGAAAAUAUUCGAAAAAUAUGAAUUUUCUCUUCAAAAAAAAAUUGGGAAGAAAACAUAUAUUGUCCUUAUUGUAAUGAAUUUUGUUUUAUCAUGAAGAAAUAGAGAAGAGAAUGAAAAAAAAACAGAAAAUAUGUGUUCCUGUUCUGGAUUAUUAUUUUUUUUUUAAUUGAAUUUAUGGUACAUGAACAGAGUAGUGAAGAAUUUCACUCUUAAAAAAAAUGAAAGAGUGAAGAAAAAGAAAAUGAAAUUGUAUGAAUUUUAUUUUUUUCAUAUAACAACUUUUGUGAUAUAAAUUAUAGACUAAAAAAAAAACAAGAAAAAUAAGAAAAGAAAACUGAAGAAACAGACUUUUGUUUAGUGUUAUUUAUUAUUAUUUUUAAUUAUUAAUUUACUGCAAAAAAAGAAAGAUGAAAUGGAGAAAAUGAGAGACAUCCAGAAAAAAUGCGCGCGUUUUCAAACGUCCGCUUGAUAAUGAAAUAAAAAAAACGUCCUUCAUUGAUUUAUUGGCAAGACACUUCAGCGCCUCUUGGUCGGAAUUUUUAAAACGUACUAGGGGCUGUCAAGUACUACAGAAUUGUGUCUUGCUUGUGAAUCGAUCACAAUUAAGAAACAAUGAUGAGUUAUAAUUGAGAGAGAGGAAACAAAGUAAAACAAAAUAUUAAAUCAUAUUGUGGGAGAUUCUUUGCAAAGGAAUUUUCAGUGAAAAGGAAAAAAUAUAUAUAUUUUUUUAAAUUAACAUUUUGAGGAUCGUGGUUCCUAACCUCAAAAGUUUAACCUUAAUUUUCUCUCAAAAGAAAAGUUUUUCCAAGUUUUCUUUUGACGAACUUGAAGUAAUUUAACUUCCCUACAUAAAGAUAUAAAAUUUAUCACGAAAUAUAAAAUAGAUUUCGAUUUUGUGGCGAUUGAAAAAAGUCGAAUUAGCCAGAUUGGCCAGCAAAAUCCUUCAAGGGUUAAAAGGAGGCUUUUCAGGCAGUUAAGAAAUUCAAAAAGAAUGACAAAUCAACAUAUAAACUAUAAUGCAUAGAAAAAACACUAAAAUAUUACCCACAAAAUGCAAAAAAAAAUAUAGGCUGCCAUUGCUAAUUUUAUAUCUAUAAAUGUUUCAAAACAUUCACGUUAAUGUUUCACCCAUGAGUUGUCGCUACGAAAUAUUAAAGUGAAUGUUUUGAAACAUUAAAAAAAGGAACAAAAUUAGUAAUUGCCGCUCAUUUUCUUGCAUUUUGUAUGUAAACUUUGCUGGGUUUAUUUUUCUUUGUGAUUCCUUUUUGAUUCUCUAAAAUAUAUUGCAGAUUAGAACUUAUGUGUGCCUGAAUAGUCUCCUUUGAUGAUAAAAUUAAUCAAAUUUAUCAUGAAUUAUUCUUUCUAUUUGUCCAUAACAGAAGAAUAAUUUUUAUUUAAAACAAACAAAGUGAAUAAACUUUUUUUUUUUUUUCAAAAGAAGUUCCUUUACAAAGUUUCUCAUCACGGUAUGAAGUAAAAAUUUCCACGCACUAUAGAGAAGAAGAAAAGCAAAAAAGAAUAAAGAACAAGAUAAGGAGAAUGAUGAGAGAAAACCCUUGCUUAAUAAAAAUUGAUUUUGAGAUUUUUUUUUAAUUUUUACAAAACAAGAUUAAAGAUUUCAGUUUUUUUUUAAUUAUAAUUUUUUUUUCAUUUUUUGAGCAUUUUUGCCAAGUUACUUACGCGAUGCUUUUUUUUUUUUGUAAAAAGAUUUUUUUGUGUAAAAAUCAUCUCUUUUUAGUUUUGAUUUAAAAACUUAUUAAUUCAAAGAUUGAAAAGAUUUUGUAAAAAAAAAAUGGAAGAAAGAUAAAAUCUUUGAAAAAAAUGAUGGCGGAAAGAAAAUAAGAUGAAGAAAAGUAAAAUGAAAAGAAUAAAACAAAAUAUAAAGAUAAUUUGCACCUGCUGUCCUAGCCGAGAUAAAACUACAUAAAUUUUAUCCUUUUAUCAAUGAUGAAGAAUAUUUAAGUAAAUUAAAAUGCAAUGAAAAUGAGAAACUGUAGUAGAUUUAUGAAUGAUGAAUUUUUCUUUUUCAAUACACAAAAGAUUUUUUUGUUUGAAUUCCUCGUGGAAAAAGAAAGAACAAACACAAACUUCUAUCCUCCUUUUAUGUCGUGAAAAUGAUUUAAAAAAAAAGAAAUGAAAAUGAAAAAUUAAGAGAAAAAAUAGCGAUGGAAAAUGUUUUGAAAUGAAAAAGAAAAAAAUGGGUUUUCACAGAAUUUUUAACAAUUAUUUUGUCUGAACGAGUGAGAAUUUCAUCUUGUGAGAGAUUCUUUAUAAAAUGAGAAAAAAAUGAAGAUUUUGCGAGAAAAAAACAUGUAAAAAAACAAGUCUAAUAGUAGAGUGAUGUGAUGCUGGUUGUAAUUUUGUUAAAAAAAAUAUUGUGAGUUCGCUCUCUAUAUGUGUCAAUACCUCAGAAUAUAAUCGAUAAAAAAUGCAAGAAAAUGAUCAAUACAAGCAAAUUGUAUUUGAGAAAGCCACAAAAAUAUUAAUAAAUUAACAGAAGAGA
Molecule: RNA transcript, 5753 nt
Organism: Lutzomyia longipalpis
Lineage: Eukaryota; Metazoa; Arthropoda; Insecta; Diptera; Psychodidae
Gene name: macoilin-2
Exons: 10
Source: RefSeq, a predicted model, not a curated record